UCGGGCUUUCGAAUCAAUACC
RNAcentral lists this microRNA (21 nucleotides) under Picea abies (Norway spruce). RNAcentral describes it as "pab-miR11518". The record is from miRBase by way of RNAcentral. Lineage: Eukaryota; Viridiplantae; Streptophyta; Pinopsida; Pinales; Pinaceae.